GACGAACGCUGGCGGCGUGCUUAACACAUGCAAGUCGAACGGACAGGCCCUGCUUUUGUGGGGUGCUCGAGUGGCGAACGGGUGAGUAACACGUGAGUAACCUGCCCUUGACUUUGGGAUAACUUCAGGAAACUGGGGCUAAUACCGGAUAGGAGCUCCUGCUGCAUGGUGGGGGUUGGAAAGUUUCGGCGGUUGGGGAUGGACUCGCUGCUUAUCCGCUUGUUGGUGGGGUAGUGGCUUACCAAGGCUUUGACGGGUAGGCGGCCUGAGAGGGUGACCGGCCACAUUGGGACUGAGAUACGGCGCAGAAUCGUACGGGAGGCAACAGUGGGGAAUAUGACACAAUGGGCGGAAGCCUGAUGCGACAACGCCGCGUGCGGGAUGACGGCCUUCGGGGUGUAAACCGCUUUCGCCUGUGACGAAGCGUGAGUGACGGUAAUGGGUAAAGAAGCACCGGCUAACUACGUG
RNAcentral lists this ribosomal RNA (468 nucleotides) under uncultured bacterium. RNAcentral describes it as "partial 16S ribosomal RNA". It matches the Rfam family "Bacterial small subunit ribosomal RNA", at positions 28 to 507 of the family's 1533-position model. The record is from RNAcentral.